UAUGGCUCAGUUUCUUUCUCUGUAAAUGGGGAUACUAAUCUCUAACUCGUCAGAUUAUGUGAGGGUUCAAUGAGAUGCCACUUUUGCAUACACUUAUUGCUGUUUCUGGCACACAGUAGGCGCUCAGUGGUAGCUCCCUCCCUCCCUCCAUGGAGACCAGCUCCUCUCAGGACCCAGCCAAAGCAGAUCUGCUUCCUUAUCAGCUCAAGACAUGACAAGUAAAGACCGAGAAGAUCUUCUAGAUGUCAGGGCAGACUGGAUUUGAGGCACAGGACGAGGACUAUGGGUUUGCCUGUUUAUCAUUCCUGGAGGCCGGAGACCAGGGGCCAACUGUGUCCAGAAACCUUGUUUUCUUGUCUCAGAGGCACUGGAGCCUGAGGUGGCUGCAGCAGUGGCAGCUGAGGUUGGGAAGUUUAAAGACCAGAGCUAAGAAGGUAGUGACCAAGAAAGUCCCCUCCAGGACUGAGAUGUCUGGGGUGGAGCAGAGUCCAGUGGGAGUCUGAAGGCACAGACUGUGCUUGGAGAGCCACAUAUCUGAGCCUUUGCCAGAGAGGACUGGGGGACCCCAGGGCCACUCCAUUGCCCUUUCUGGGCCUCAGUGUCCUCACUGUGGACAAUUGGGACUCCUAUGCUGUGACUUGGGGUAGGGGGAGGCAGAGGUCAGCUCAGCAGAGAGAACCCCAUCACUGCUGCAGCUGUGUAGCAGUGCCUUGCAGGUGGUGAGUUCCCUGUCAUUGGGGCUAUGAAAGCAGAGGCUGAGGAGGACUCCUCGAGCAUGGCUGGGAUGGAGCAGCAGACCUCCUCCUGGAAGUUCUUGUUCUUAUUUGAACUCUAAUUGUUCCAGACAGCCUCUUCAAAAGCUGGGCAGUCCUUCCUGGGUCUAACUUCACCUUCCUGCUCUGGGAGAAGCUCCUUCUCCUUGCUCUUCUUUCUCCCAGUGCCUCUAUAACCUUAACAGCCUUGGCUGCUAGGCACAGAGGAGAGGCAGAGGAGGCGUUAAAGGAGGACCAGUUCCACUCUGUGUUGGUCCUGUAGUCCUCAAUUAGGUUCCGAUAAUGAAAAUAAAUGAGGUUGGCUCCUAUCCUGGGUAGACAAAAGUUGUUGGUGAUGGAGAGGGAGUGUAGGAGCUGGAUUUUGAUUGCUUGAUUGGCUUCCUGGAGGAGGUAGGAUUCCGUGGGGGCAGUACCCUGCAGUUGUCACUCUGACCGCUGCAUGCAGGAAUGCUGUCUGCUGGCGGAUGGCCAUGGGCCAACUCCUUUCCCGGUAGCCACCUGUGCUCCACAGGUAAGGCUUCCAGGGACCGGCUGAGAGCCUGGCAGCGCUGGGCUGGCUCACUUGUGUCCCACUCUGGGGGCCAAUUAAGUCUC
Long non-coding RNA from Equus caballus (horse), 1367 nucleotides. NCBI's taxonomy places the organism in Eukaryota, Metazoa, Chordata, Mammalia, Perissodactyla, Equidae. The record is from Ensembl.